AGAGACUCGCGUUUUACUUUUAUGUUUGGCAUACCUAAUUGGCCUGGUUACAGCGAUAAACCUGCAAGAGAAAAAUGAAAAACAAAAGUUGGAGUUAGAGCUUCAAAUUGUGAUCAUCUCGAUAAGAUCUUUUUUAUUGUUCUCAGAUUCUGGCCUUAUUCUUUCAGUUGUUAAACUAACGUCAUUUUAUUACUCUUAUUUACAUUGUUACCAAUCCGAUUAUCAAACUUUCGGCAGGUUGGAUGGUGAUAAUGAUGAUGAUAAUUAAAAGAUCAACCACGAAUGAAAGGCUCGAAAGAAGUAAAGUAGAUGACAGAAAAGCUGUGAAAAAAUGAAAAGCUAAUACAAGCCAACAUUAAGAAGCUCAAGAAGAUGGUACAGAUGGAGAGAAAAGAUAAAGAUUAAGAGGAUGAAAAGAAAGGUAAAGAUUUAAGGUUUAUGUGGAGAUGAAAACCUUUUUUUUCUUCAUUUUAUUCGGAUUGAAUUGAUUGUUCGUUAAUAGAAUUAUUCAAUAGGAUUGAUUAAAAGGCAAAGGUUUAUUGAGCAUCAAAAAGAAAGAUGUCAAGAUAUUGGUUAGAAUCUCAAUGAUGAUAAAGAAACGUCGGUCAUUUUUUUCAAUUCUUGGACAAAAAAGGAUAUCGAUACUGAGGAAACACCAAGGAAAAGAUGAAAAGAUCCCAAUACCUGCAAAUGACGAUAGACUGUCUCAAUUUUUCAUGAUUCGAGUUGUUUUGUUCACACAAAGAUUUGUUUUGAAUUUUCAAUUUUGUUUCAAUUUGGUUUUACAAUUGAAGGAUCGAUUAAUAUUGAAAGUGAAUCAAGUGAUUAACCUGAUUUUCCUGGUAAACAACAAGAUGAAUAAAAAAAACUUCACUGAUAGUUGACAUUUCUGAAGAGGAUUCAUUCGAUCUCAAAGGCUAAAGAAAGCAAGAUAAUGUAAUAAUAAAGUUAUGAAGCGGAUCCAAGACGAAAGGUUCAAGAUGAUGAUGAAAAGAUUGUGAAAGAUGAACCCAAAUAUACAAGAGGAAAUCAUGUUUUAAAUCUGUUUGAUACUCCAAGAUUUGGUUCGCUUCUUUUUUAUCAAAGUUUCAAAAUGAAAUAACCAAUCUUCCAAAACCUUAAAGAUUCAUUAUUGGAGCAAGAAUAAGAAGAAAAAGGAAAAGCUGAAGAAAAAAAUUCUACUUUCAUCAUCAUUCACAUUUUCACCAUCCACCACUGUUAUCAUCAUCAAGUAUUUACUCAAUCAAAAUCAAGUUCAUCAUCUUUUUUAUUACAUGAUAUACUCUAACAAGGAGUAACUAGUUAAUUUUGAUGAUUUAAACAGUACCAAGGGAACCGGAAACCCAAUUGACAUUCUUUCAACUUGAUCAUCAACAACAACAUUAAAUCCAAUUUAGUGGAUCCAGAAAGAGCGUAAAAACUGUUUCCAAUUAUAUUAACAUUCCAUCUCAAUAUCAUCAUCUUGGAUUAGCUUGAUACACCAUAUUGCAUUGUUAGCUGUUAAUGGUUCAACAAAUUAUCAGGCCAAAGGAAAAAAAAAGAUUCAAAAGUUUCAUCCAAUAUUGACUUAACUUUUCCUUUGAGCUGAAUAACUUGAAAUCCCAGGAAAAAAAGGAAAAAAAGCUCGGCAAAUCUUCAACAAUGAAAAUGAACUCCUGUUAUUUAAUCAUAAUACAACACAAUUCACUCAUAGUUUACAUAAUUAAUGAAUUGUCUUUGGUUACAUAUAUUUAAUUAAUGAGCAACGUUUAUCAAUGAUGAGCCAACAAUAAGGUAAUACAAUUGGAUAAUAACUAAACUAUUAAAUGACUAUAAAUUACCGUCAGGUAUGAUGUUCAUUCAACGUGAAUAGUUUCAAUUGUCAACCAUUAAACGAACGAUUGUCUUGGUGGUUAAUUAGAAAAGCAACUUUUAACUUGGAACCCAAAGUAAUGAAAAUUGAGUCGACUAAAAGUGAUCAACAAGAUGAUUAUGGAGUAAAGUAGGGACAAUUAAGGAGCUCGUCAAUUGGACAGCAAAGUUAAUUACUAUGCUAAUUGAAUUUGCUAAAUGAACAAAGUUAAAUUAAAGUUAAAGCAUUAACCAAAGCUUGAGUUGUUUCUUGGAUAUUGGUUAAAGGGAAAGGCCUCGAUCUGGAAAUUGACUGGUUCACUCGCAAUCACUGUAGACUGUAAAUCAAUGGGUAAACCCUUGAAGUGGUUCAACAUUUCCAGAUUUUCCCAUUUACUCAACGAUACAAUUGUGAAAAUUGUAAACUCGAAAAAUUCAACAUUAAUUGAGAGACUUACCUAUC
This is a non-coding RNA of Tetranychus urticae (two-spotted spider mite), 2293 nucleotides long. The record is from RefSeq and is a predicted model, not a curated record. Lineage: Eukaryota; Metazoa; Arthropoda; Arachnida; Trombidiformes; Tetranychidae.